GUUUUCUUCUUUUUAAUGAUUCUAUGGAAUAUUUGUUUUGUGUCUUGGGAGGAUCAACUAUAGGGGCAUCUGACGAGCUAAUAGUUUCAGAAAAGUUAAAUAGAUCAGGAUCAGAGGUUGCACAAUGUGAUGAUGCUUUGAGACUGGAAGAAGAUUAUGGCUGUGUUAAAACAAUGCCUCAGGGUGAAGGUGAGGGACCCAAAAAUGACAGAAUAAAUGCUGAUAUUACCUAUGGGAUCCAUGGCUGCAACGAUGAGCUGAUUGAACCUUCCAGUGGAGCUAUUGACUUGAUUGGCACAUUUGAUAAUCAUCAAGAGGUCCCUGAUAAAUUAUCCACUCCAAAUGAUGGCAUCCCGGAUAAACUAU
RNAcentral lists this long non-coding RNA (366 nucleotides) under Citrus sinensis (sweet orange). RNAcentral describes it as "long non-coding RNA (CSIN_LNC004134)". Lineage: Eukaryota; Viridiplantae; Streptophyta; Magnoliopsida; Sapindales; Rutaceae. The record is from RNAcentral.